RNAcentral lists this ribosomal RNA (492 nucleotides) under uncultured bacterium. RNAcentral's name for it is "partial 16S ribosomal RNA". It matches the Rfam family "Bacterial small subunit ribosomal RNA", at positions 29 to 507 of the family's 1533-position model. The record is from RNAcentral.
AGUGAACGCUGGCGGUAGGCCUAACACAUGCAAGUCGAACGGCAGCACAGUAAGAGCUUGCUCUUACGGGUGGCGAGUGGCGGACAGGCGAGGAAUACAUCGGAAUCUACUUUUUCGUGGGGGAUAACGUAGGGAAACUUACGCUAAUACCGCAUACGACCUACGGGUGAAAGCAGGGGAUCUUCGGACCUUGCGCGAUUGAAUGAGCCGAUGUCGGAUUAGCUAGUUGGCGGGGUAAAGGCCCACCAAGGCGACGAUCCGUAGCUGGUCUGAGAGGAUGAUCAGCCACACUGGAACUGAGACACGGUCCAGACUCCUACGGGAGGCAGCAGUGGGGAAUAUUGGACAAUGGGCGCAAGCCUGAUCCAGCCAUACCGCGUGGGUGAAGAAGGCCUUCGGGUUGUAAAGCCCUUUUGUUGGGAAAGAAAAGCAGCAGGUUAAUACCCCGCUGUUCUGACGGUACCCAAAGAAUAAGCACCGGCUAACUUCGUG